Molecule: transfer RNA, 69 nt
Filed under: Marmota monax (woodchuck)
Lineage: Eukaryota; Metazoa; Chordata; Mammalia; Rodentia; Sciuridae
Rfam family: tRNA
About the family: Transfer RNA (tRNA) molecules are approximately 80 nucleotides in length. Their secondary structure includes four short double-helical elements and three loops (D, anti-codon, and T loops). Further hydrogen bonds mediate the characteristic L-shaped molecular structure. tRNAs have two regions of fundamental functional importance: the anti-codon, which is responsible for specific mRNA codon recognition, and the 3' end, to which the tRNAs corresponding amino acid is attached (by aminoacyl-tRNA synthetases). tRNAs cope with the degeneracy of the genetic code in two manners: having more than one tRNA (with a specific anti-codon) for a particular amino acid; and 'wobble' base-pairing, i.e. permitting non-standard base-pairing at the 3rd anti-codon position.
Source: Rfam by way of RNAcentral
GGAAUUGUGGCUCAGUGGUAGAGCACUCACCUAGCAUGUGUGAGGCACUGGGUUAGAUCCUUAGCACCA